GCAUUAGUAGCUCAGGGUUAGAGCGUUGGUUUUGUAAAUCGAAUGUCGGGGGUUAAAUUCCUCCCUGGUGCU
Molecule: transfer RNA, 72 nt
Filed under: Johnius carouna
Lineage: Eukaryota; Metazoa; Chordata; Actinopteri; Sciaenidae
Description: tRNA-Thr
Rfam family: tRNA
About the family: Transfer RNA (tRNA) molecules are approximately 80 nucleotides in length. Their secondary structure includes four short double-helical elements and three loops (D, anti-codon, and T loops).
Source: RNAcentral